This 253-nucleotide ribosomal RNA is filed under the name uncultured bacterium. RNAcentral describes it as "partial 16S ribosomal RNA". It matches the Rfam family "Bacterial small subunit ribosomal RNA", at positions 524 to 776 of the family's 1533-position model. The record is from RNAcentral.
UACAGAGGUCUCAAGCGUUGUUCGGAUUCAUUGGGCGUAAAGGGCGCGUAGGCUGCGGGGCAAGUCGGGUGUGAAAUCUCAGAGCUCAACUCUGAAACUGCACUCGAUACUGCUUUGCUUGAGGACUGGAGAGGAGACUGGAAUUCAUGGUGUAGCAGUGAAAUGCGUAGAGAUCAUGAGGAAGACCAGUGGCGAAGGCGGGUCUCUGGACAGUUCCUGACACUGAGACACGAAGGCCAGGGGAGCAAACGGG